This 363-nucleotide ribosomal RNA is filed under the name uncultured eukaryote. RNAcentral's name for it is "SSU rRNA". It matches the Rfam family "Eukaryotic small subunit ribosomal RNA", at positions 567 to 934 of the family's 1831-position model. The record is from RNAcentral.
CCAGCAGCCGCGGUAAUUCCAGCUCCAAUAGCGUAUAUUAAAGUUGUUGCAGUUAAAAAGCUCGUAGUUGGAUUUGUGGCUUACGGUGGGUUCCGGGCACUUGUUGUCUGAGCAACAUGCUGUUGCCAUCCUUGGGUGGAACCUGUGUGGCAUUAGGUUGUCGUGCAGGGGAUGCCCAUCGUUUACUGUGAAAAAAUUAGAGUGUUCAAAGCAGGCUUAUGCCGUUGAAUAUAUUAGCAUGGAAUAAUAAGAUAGGACUUUGUCGCUAUUUUGUUGGUUUGCGCGACGAGGUAAUGAUUAAUAGGGAUAGUUGGGGGUAUUCGUAUUCCAUUGUCAGAGGUGAAAUUCUUGGAUUUUUGGAAG